RNAcentral lists this ribosomal RNA (154 nucleotides) under Coriobacteriia bacterium. RNAcentral's name for it is "partial 16S ribosomal RNA". It matches the Rfam family "Bacterial small subunit ribosomal RNA", at positions 1 to 136 of the family's 1533-position model. Lineage: Bacteria; Bacillati; Actinomycetota; Coriobacteriia. The record is from RNAcentral.
UUUUAUUGAGAGUUUGAUCCUGGCUCAGGACGAACGCUGGCGGCGUGCUUAACACAUGCAAGUCGAACGAGAAUCUACUGAAAGAGUUUUCGGACAAUGGAUGUAGAGGAAAGUGGCGGACGGGUGAGUAACGCGUGAGGAACCUGCCUUGAAG